Molecule: ribosomal RNA, 264 nt
Filed under: uncultured archaeon
Lineage: Archaea
Description: partial 16S ribosomal RNA
Rfam family: Archaeal small subunit ribosomal RNA
Source: RNAcentral
ACACGACUACAUUAGAUACCCGUGUAGUCCUAGCCGUAAACGAUACUCGCUAGGUGUCGGCCACGGUGCGACCGUUGUCGGUGCCGUAGGGAAGCCGUGAAGCGAGCCACCUGGGAAGUACGGCCGCAAGGCUGAAACUUAAAGGAAUUGGCGGGGAGCACCACAACGGGUGGAGCCUGCGGUUUAAUUGGACUCAACGCCGGGAAGCUCACCGGAUAAGACAGCGGAAUGAUUGCCGGGCUGAAGACCCUGCAUGACCAGCUG